AUUGAACGCUGGCGGCAUGCUUUACACAUGCAAGUCGAACGGUAACAGGUUAAGCUGACGAGUGGCGAACGGGUGAGUAAUGCAUCGGAACGUGCCCGGUCGUGGGGGAUAACGCAGCGAAAGCUGCGCUAAUACCGCAUACGAUCUAAGGAUGAAAGCGGGGGACCGUAAGGCCUCGCGCGAUCGGAGCGGCCGAUGUCAGGUUAGGUAGUUGGUGGGGUAAAGGCUCACCAAGCCAACGAUCUGUAGCUGGUCUGAGAGGACGACCAGCCACACUGGGACUGAGACACGGCCCAGACUCCUACGGGAGGCAGCAGUGGGGAAUUUUGGACAAUGGGCGAAAGCCUGAUCCAGCAAUGCCGCGUGCAGGAAGAAGGCCUUCGGGCUGUAAACUGCUUUUGUACGGAGCGAAAAGGUCUCCUCUAAUACAGGGGGCUCAUGACGGUACCGUAAGAAUAAGCACCGGCUAACUACGUGCCAGCCGCCGCAGUAA
This 493-nucleotide ribosomal RNA is filed under the name uncultured bacterium. RNAcentral's name for it is "partial 16S ribosomal RNA". It matches the Rfam family "Bacterial small subunit ribosomal RNA", at positions 29 to 523 of the family's 1533-position model. The record is from RNAcentral.